UCACUGGGGAAGGAUUUCUUUUGGAGUUCACACCUCUUUGAGUCUUCUCAGCGAGUCUAGGAUAAGGGUGUUCCUGGGCUGCAUCCCCAAGCUGUGAGCACUCCUGCACUCCCUGAACUCGUUCCCAUGUGUAUCUUGCAGCUAGUGAAGCUGCGGAUUGUGAAAUUCCUCAAGCAAAGCUAUAGAAAGUGCUCCUGGCCUCCACCAGCUACCUCUGGCUGUGCUGUAAGGGUGUGUGCUUUCUGUCCAAUCAGUCUGUGCUGCAUUAAGAUGAAGAGCAAGAAACCCUCCAGAAGGUUCACCUCUGUAGCCAAGGCCCUCAGGAAUUAACCAGCAAACAGCUGCCAGAACUGCAGAGGAAUUCAAUCCUGUUGUCAUUACAUGGCAUGGUACUUCUGUUCCUGAACUCUAAAGAUUUCUUUGGAACUGGAGGAACAGAUUCUUGUAGUCUCUUAAUCUUGUAUGUGACAGUGGCAUUUUGUGAUAUCCCUAUAUCUGGCUAUUUCCAGGAUUACUUUACAACCAGUUUGCCAGACUUCAGUAAAAAAUGUAAAUGGAUUACUGUGUUGUAUGUUAAGCCAGGGUGGCAAUAGUUUUGCCUUUUCCGAUGACAGCUUUCAAGGAUUGCUGGAAGGUGCUUAAUACUGAGCUCCUUGCUUGUCUUUCUUUAUGGAUCACUAUGAAAAUAACUGUAAUAACUCAGUAAUAGCUACAACAAUAAGAUUAAUUCUAUUACUCAAGGGAGUUUUGCUGGCUGUGAACAGGAAGUGCAUUAAUGCAAGGUCUCCUGGAGUUCUUGCACUUGCACCCAUUAGCACUACUUUCUGCCUAUACCCAGUUUAAAGCCAGUAAGAAUAUUCAUCACUAGUACACAAAACUUAAGAAGUUUGUAGUCAUGGCAUUUAAAAGGGCUAAAAAUCACUUUGUUCCUGUGCUGGAUGCUAAGCUUUCACAUUCAAAACUAGUAAACUCUGUCUGUGGUGUUACUAAAGUAAAACAA
Non-coding RNA from Meleagris gallopavo (turkey), 1000 nucleotides. The record is from RefSeq and is a predicted model, not a curated record. Lineage: Eukaryota; Metazoa; Chordata; Aves; Galliformes; Phasianidae.